Molecule: non-coding RNA, 564 nt
Organism: Camellia sinensis
Lineage: Eukaryota; Viridiplantae; Streptophyta; Magnoliopsida; Ericales; Theaceae
Source: RefSeq, a predicted model, not a curated record
GAAUCAAAUUCAAGCUAACUGCCUCUGCCUGACUGCUUUUCUUUCAGGUAACUGCAGUAAUUCAUAAACAAGAUGAGUAGAUCCAAUUGAUAAGCUAUACCUGCAAAAUCAGAUUACUUGCAAUUCCAAAACAAGGUAUUAGCGCUGAUAGCAUCAAGCAGAGCAGAGGUCAGCAGUCGGACUCUACCAUCGACAUGCCUCUCAGGGCAUGAUGAUCCAUGGAAGUCAUAGUAGGAAGUAUCAUUUUAACAUAUUCCUUUUCCUUUUCUCCAUAAUUCCAAGAUCAAUUUUAAUGUGUCUAGGUUGAAUUACACCAAGUAACUAGUAAAUCUUUGAAAAGGAAAGUUUCUGGAGUGGGAAAUUACAGUGUGGUGUUGUUUGUCAAUGCCAUUGAGAUCUCUGUAGUAUUCUGUUUCCACAAAUUCUUCCCUCACUUGGCUUCCAUUGUAAACCAGUUUCUGCAACAGAGAGACAAGGGGAAGGGAUACAGAAGAAAUUAGACAAAGAUUAUAUGCAGUUGAGUCAUUAUUUUACAAUGAAAUAACUAAUUAUUGUUUAUUUCUA